CUUUCCUGUAGUGAGGUCAGAUUGGUUCAUGUUGUAGACUUUUGUUGUGGAGGUUCAUUCUGUACUUUAGUGAGGUCAGAUUCGUUGUGUUGUGGACUUUUAUUGUGGAGUUUCAUUUGUAACAUUAGUUACUUGUUGGUGGUUUUAUGGCUGUCUAUAAUGGUUUAGCACAUUGAUAUGUAGACCCUUGAUGCUUUAGUUACUAUGCUCUACUGGGAGAGUUCAGUGUUUCAGAAGUUCAGAAGGGAAAUAAGGAAUCAUCCUAAUAAUGAAGAUUGAGAUAUAAACAUAUAGCGAUGGAGUGUGUAGAUUUAGACAUAGAUAGUGAUAGAGUGUGUAGAUCUAGACAUAGAUUGUGAUAUUGUUUAGAUAUAGACAUAGAGUGACAGAGUGUGUGUGAGAUCUAGACAUAGUGAUAGAAUGUGUAGAUUUAGACAUAGAUAGUGAUAUAGUGUGUGAUCUAGACAUUGAUAGGGAUAGUGUGUAGAUCUAGACAUAGAGAGUAAUAGAGUGUGUAGAACUAGACAUAGAGAGUGAUAGUCAUCACUGCAGUAAUUUCAAGUUCGCGACUAAGAAUCCACAGAAUCAAUAUGUAGUUGUGUUUGUGUCCAGGUCUCCAGUCUACUAUGGAUGAGGAGAGAGAGGAGAGGGGUCCUACCUCUAAGACCACUCUGUCUGGGGAACAUGGCUGCCGGAGCAAAGCUAAGAGGCCAGAGCAGCAGCAGAGAGCAGACUCCCCUGGACCCAGCUGUGUCUCCAUGAAGAGUGACUGGUUUAUGGAAAGAAUGAACUGUUUUGAACCAAAAGUCCAGCAGCAGAGAGCAGACUCCCCUGGACACAGCUGUGUCUCCAUGAAGAGUGACCGCUCUAUGGGUCUACCUGUUGGGUUUCAGGAUGGAAAUCAAUCUAUUGA
Long non-coding RNA from Gadus morhua (Atlantic cod), 913 nucleotides. RefSeq lists it as uncharacterized. The record is from RefSeq and is a predicted model, not a curated record. NCBI's taxonomy places the organism in Eukaryota, Metazoa, Chordata, Actinopteri, Gadiformes, Gadidae. The transcript is spliced from 3 exons.